This 275-nucleotide ribosomal RNA is filed under the name Flavobacterium sandaracinum. Its description in RNAcentral is "Flavobacterium sp. LB-D12 partial 23S ribosomal RNA". It matches the Rfam family "Bacterial large subunit ribosomal RNA", at positions 2637 to 2925 of the family's 2925-position model. Lineage: Bacteria; Pseudomonadati; Bacteroidota; Flavobacteriia; Flavobacteriales; Flavobacteriaceae. The record is from RNAcentral.
UCUAUCUACUGUGGGCGCAAGAAAUUUGAGUGGAUCUGAUUCUAGUACGAGAGGACCGAAUUGGACAAACCUCUAGUGUAUCUGUUGUCACGCCAGUGGCAUCGCAGAGUAGCUACGUUUGGAAGGGAUAAGCGCUGAAAGCAUAUAAGCGCGAAACCCACCACAAGAUGAGAUUUCUUUUAAGGGUCGUGGGAGAUGACCACGUUGAUAGGCUAUAGAUGUAAAGGCAGUAAUGUCAUAGUCGAGUAGUACUAAUAACCCGUAAGCUUAUGUAC